This is a long non-coding RNA of Saccostrea echinata, 182 nucleotides long. RefSeq lists it as uncharacterized. The record is from RefSeq and is a predicted model, not a curated record. Lineage: Eukaryota; Metazoa; Mollusca; Bivalvia; Ostreida; Ostreidae. The transcript has 3 exons.
UUAGCAGUUCCGACUGAAUUUAACGUCUGUUAUUUCUUUUGCAGAAUGCCUUGUUUCACAAAAAAGAACACUGUUCAGAUAUUUUCUCUGGACUGUCAAUUUCUGCAUUUCAUAAUCAUGUGAUACCUGUGUUGGAGCCCUCCCAAAAACCUCCCCUGUAAAAUUUCAAAGUUAAGGAGAUC